CUGGCUGGGAUUCCUGGGGACGCUGUAGAGAGCUUCUGCAAUGUCCGCGGCUCGCUUCAAAAUGAUGUCCUACAAGACGACAGGUUGAGGCCACUAAGCAGUCCAGUCCUAACUCUAAAUCCUCAUCUCCUCCAAGAAGAAAGCAAGCAGUGGAGAAAGAAUCCUCAGGAAAUCUAAAACCUGUGUAAUGUGAUGGCCAGAUAAACACCACAUCAGAAGAUGGACUUUGCAGAACAGCCAGAGAGCCAAGGCCAUUGUUACUGGCCAAGUGAAACUACCAGAUGAAGCCAAAUGGAUAGCCUUGGUGCAAUUUCUUCAAAUAAGCUAUACAGUCUUGAGCCCUGAUGUUGUUUAUGCUGUACUUGGCAGCAACAACCGUGGGGAGCUAUUACUGCAUUUUUGCCUAAUUAUAUACCAGGUAAGUUCCACCUAAUAGACUUAGGUUUAUUGUUGUGGUGUGUCCCUGGUUACAGGAACCAACAACGGUUGGACCAUGAACCAUAAGGUGUGUGUGGUGGGGUGGGAGGCUGAGGGAGGCGGGGUUUGGAGGCUCCCUUCCCAUUUCCUGCUUUUUGAGUCUCUUUCUAGAAAGUUCCAUCUAAGAGUAAAUACCAUGGUGUUUGUGGUGUCAUGAUUUGGUCUCAAAAGAACUGCCCCAUGUUGUGGAGUACUUUACAAGCCAGGAAGUCACGGCAGCAGCCUGAUGAGCAGGAGUCAGGUUCCCCAAACUCAUUUUUUUGUUUAAAGGACAGAUUCUCAGACCCUCCCAGAAGAGUGUGACUCAGUAUGUCCGGAACAGGACCUGGUGUGAUUCUUCUCCUACUUGGCCAAAUUAGGGAAACAGCUAUGGCUAAGAUUAUAAUUAGCACCAGAGCUUUACAGAGAAAGAAAAGGAGGCUCAGAGAGGUUAAGCGACUUGACACAGGACAAAGAAGUCAUUGACAGCACAGCCCGUGUCCGAAAGCAGGUCUCUGGCCGACUCCAGUGCGGCUCCUCUUAGCUCCAUCCCACCCCGGACUCUCACUGAUUCCACGAAAGCUCUCUCGGUCUCCGGUUUCCCCUUUCCUCUGGAAUCAAGAUUACAUUUUCUACUUCACCACAGAGCUGAGGGUUUUGUCUUGGCCUCUAGUGGUCUCUGAAGCACCUCCCUGCAGUAGCACCGGACGUGGGCCUGGAGGAGCAGACCCCACUGCCUUUCCAGCUGUUGGACUAAGACUCCCGGUGGGGUCUAAAUUAGCAUCCCUGUUGGUGGCUGCUGGAAAGGCAGUGGCUUCUCCAGGUGACUGAAGAUGUGAGGACUUGGGCCCUUCCGGGGAGCCUGCAGGAUCAUGGCCUUCUCCCUGUGAGGCCACAGAGGCCCCUCCCUCAGCAUUCCAGCCAGCCUGGCCUCAGAGCCACACCUUCUGAGCCUCUGGGGAAUCAAUCAGCUCCUCCAGGACCAGACAAGAGACCACCCAUCUGCUUCCUGUGGCGUCUGGUCCCUCUUUGGAUAAAAUCAGCUACCUGUCUCUACCAACAAGAAUUGCAUUUGGCCCCGGAACCUCAGGGAGGACGUUUUUAGAGAGCGAUCAGCCUCCUGAGCUCUCCUGGACUGUGUUUGAAUUUUUGUUUUCUGCUCUGACUGCAAAAGCAUAUACUACUGUGUCCCCACCCUCCACACCCCUGACUGCCUCCCAAGGUCUAACCGUCUCAAAUGCAAGAAGGAAAAUGCUCCACUGCUUCCCUGGCUGGAAAUACUUUCCUUGUACCUGGAGAAAUCAGACUGCUGAUGUGAGCUGUUUCAGUGUUUAAACAUGUGUGAUGCUAAUGUUUUAUAUUCACCUAAUUUUUAAUUUAAAAUUGCUUCAUUUGUUAGAAAAUAACAACUAAGCAAAAUGAUAAAACUAAUAGUAUCAAUACCCAGAAACCACCAUGGUUAACUCUGUGGUAGUCAGGCUUCCAUAGUUUACUUGCGUUUUUUUAUGCAGGCAUUUAUUUUUUCAUAUAUAUAAAAUUGGAGCAUACUGUACAUAGUUUUAAGCUUUUAAAAAAUCACCAGCGUCUUUCAUGUAACUAAAUAUCCACCCAUAGCAUUACUUUUAAUGUCUAAAGAGUGUUUCAGUAUACGGAUGUUUCAUUAUUUAUUUAAUAAGCUUCCUAGAGGAUGCUAAGAAUGUUUCAGUUUUUCACAUCUAUAAAUAGUACUCCAAUGAAAAAGUCUUUAUUUAUUUAUUUAUUUUUUUUAAUGGCCGCACGGAGGCAUAUAUGAAAGUUC
Molecule: non-coding RNA, 2254 nt
Organism: Sus scrofa (pig)
Lineage: Eukaryota; Metazoa; Chordata; Mammalia; Artiodactyla; Suidae
Source: RefSeq, a predicted model, not a curated record